GUUGAGAGCAUGAGCUUGAAGGGUUGUUCUUGUAUUUUCAUGGUGGUUCCUUGGUUUGAAUGAAGGCUUAUUUUCCGUUUUGCUUCUCCUUUGCUGCAAUAUUUUUGGUUUCUUUUUAGUUUUCUUGGUUGGAUGAUGAAAAUGAAGUUCUUGUUGAGUUUUGUAGUGAAGAAAGCUUGAGUUAGUGUAUGGGUGUUUGAGGUUUGAACCAUUUUCUUCUUG
Molecule: long non-coding RNA, 222 nt
Filed under: Vigna radiata
Lineage: Eukaryota; Viridiplantae; Streptophyta; Magnoliopsida; Fabales; Fabaceae
Description: long non-coding RNA (VRAD_LNC014878)
Source: RNAcentral